AAACAAUAUAUUUCAAUGUCAGAUGAUGUAAAUUUAUUAGAUUAAAAUUUUCAUUUUCAAAUGCUUUUCCAUGAAAAUCCAAUAGUAUAUUUUCAAUCCAAUAGUACAGGCAAUAGGACUUCAUAUUGGGUUAUUCAUUAAGUUUAGAGUCCCUCAAAAGUUGAUGAUGCAAGAAACUGAUGAUUUAAGAAUAAAAGAUUAGUGGUAAAUGUGAGAAGGAAAACGAUGGGUAUACUGAGAGAGACUUUGAUCUCAAUAUGCAAAAGGAUUUAGACCUUCAACAAAUUGAACGAUAGAAGCCAGAUCCACAGGAUGGUCUGUAACAGGAUGAUUGGCAGCUACUGGACAAAAAGUAGGUUGGGUGACAGAAUCCAGAUCCAUGGCUCAGGGAAGGGAAGCCACAGAUUCCAUAACCCAGGCGUCUGAAGCCACGGCCUCCACAGCCCACUGAGUAGCAGCUUCUGGAUCCAGAGCUCAGGGAGCUGCAGCUGCUGGACCUAUAGGCCAGAGACCCAGGGAAAGUCGUCUGGCAGGGACUGGAGAACGUGGAGGUCCUCGGGCGGUAGCAGGACGUCUGGCAGGGACUGGAGAACGUGGAGGUCCUCGGGCGGUAGCAGGACGUCUGGCAGGGACGGGACACCACAGUCUGGGUCCUGAUGGGCUCACAGCAGGUCUCCUGGCUGUAGAGAGAGGAGCCCAGCUGGCAGGAGCUGGGAGAGCAGAGGUCAGUGCUGUAGACCAGGUUGCUGGGGAAGGAGGAAGCUGGGGUGCGCAGGUGGUCCUGGAGGGAGCGGGAGGAGAAGUUUCCAGAGCAGCAGUUGUAGGACAUCUUCGCAGGUGAUGUGAGUUCAGGUGAGUGACUAGAAGAUUCUGAGGUUUAACGUCACCUCCCAGACUGGAGUGUUUUUAUAUUCUCAGCCAUGGGUGUGGCAUUCAUAGUCACCUUUCUCAUGCUUGUAAUCUUUCAUCUCCAAAUGUGAAAUUCAAUAAUAUUUUCUGUAACUGCUGAUGAAAAAUUCCUUUCAUCUCAUACUCAUGGGUGAAUUCACCAUGUCGUUAAAGGACUAAGCUGAUGACGUGUUCCUAAGUCAGAAAUUCUAUGACUACCUGCCUUUAAUGUCAUCACUACCAGGAAAUCCCCUACUCUUCUCAAUGGUUUGAGAUUCUUCGUGCAUUUGACUGUAUAUCAGCUGGGGAUGAUUAGCUCUAAGGGCAGGGAUU
This 1221-nucleotide long non-coding RNA is filed under the name Ovis aries (sheep). RNAcentral describes it as "lncRNA (ENSOARG00000025570.1)". Lineage: Eukaryota; Metazoa; Chordata; Mammalia; Artiodactyla; Bovidae. The record is from RNAcentral.